GAGGCUAAAAUAUCUGUUCCAUUUGCUCUUAUAAUCUAAUUCUCUCCAUGUCUGUUUCUUAAAGAAUCAUCAUUUUCUAACGCUGAUUUAUUUAAGUUCAUUCUGAACUGGUGGAUAGUGGAAAUAUCUAAUCCAGUGCAUGGGAAUUUAUUAAUAUGGGUUUGUCUUUUUGUUGUCUGCUGUUUGUUUCCCCCAUGCUGUCUUUAGCUCUCACGUUCUAGCUCAAUGAGUUCUUUAUCACGCGAAGUGAGUCAGCAUUUAAACCAGGUACCUCUAGCUGGGCCUCCAAUGGUCCACACUCACCCCUGCCUGCCACCCAUCCAGCUCACCACAUCACUAGUAACACGCUUCACCAUUUGCACCUGAAGCUUCACCGCCCAUUCGACCAAGGAUGUCUGUCUGCUCCCCUGCCUGCUGUCUCCAGCAUUACUAACUUAACUCUGUAUCAUUGAUGAUCAAUAACCAAAACCAGCGAAUGGUCAACAAAUUAAAACUAAUGCAGUAACUGCAAUAAACUUACUUUUUUAUAGCCUUGCUAAAAGGAUUAACCCUAGUGAGUCUGGGGAUCACGUCGCUUUUAAUCAAGCGUUUUCUACCAGGUCAAAAUUUCAAUUUGUCCAACACGUUGGUUUGGACCAGAUACCUGCAAAACUAAUGACAUUCCCAUCACCUGCAAUUUCUGUUUAUCGCUAAUUAGAAAAUGUUAGCAUGAUAAACUGAGAUUAUGAACAUAAUCUAUCCCUACAGUGCAGCUCAGAGCACUGCUGACCCUAAGUACAGUCUCAUAGAGCCACAGGCAAGGCUGUAGACUCUGUUUUGUGUAUACUACAGAAGUGAACCAUCUACUUCUCUUGAAAGUCGCUGGGUAACUGAGCCAUAGAUCAGAGUAAGGCAUGCUGGAGACUGUUGCAGGACGACUCACUUGCUUUUUGUCAUGACACCUCACAGCUUCAAUAACCCAUCAUAAAGCUUGCAUAGUUAAUAAAAAGUGAAACAGUGGUUUGUAAUGCUGCCACUCUGUGGAUCCAAGUACUCUUCGUCGUUACUUUUGCUUGUGUUCUGUUUUAAAAUGUUGCCAAACCAUUGUGUGCAUCCCCCUCUCUGUCUCUGCCCAUAGAGGUAAUGGGACAGUAACACUGCACACACUGUAGUAACUCAUCUUGUCCUUUGCAGAGUCAUCCUGCCCCGGGACCUCCAACCGCUGGCGGUGUCACCUUUUAUAACCCUGCACAGUUUGCACAGACAAGUGCACCAUCAGGAGGACACCGCGCUGGUCGUUUGGGUGGUCAGCGCCAGUACCCAGUGUUAAAGUAAACAUCAAUUUUGCAGAGAGAUAGUGCAAACAGACUUGUUGGAUAGAGUGAUAUCCUACCUGGAAGCACAUGGACAUACUGCUCUCUGUCUAAAAGACCCUUUCUAUUUUUCCUCACACCUAAGAAGAGCGUAAUCACAGUCUCCAUCAUGUCAACCUUUUGUCCAACAGCUUAACCACUCGGUCAUCUUUCUCUUUGGUUCUAGAUUUGUCAAUGGUGUAAUUUUCACAGGCUCGGUGUUUCCUUUAAGGGCUUUUUCCUGCAUCCAAACAGACAGUUGUAAAAUGGGUUUUAACAAAGGCUUAUCCAUGGAUGCAUUCAUACACAAAACUGUCUGUUCAUGAAGGCAUAAUUUAGUGUACAAUAAAUAUGUUGCUCCUCUAAGCUGUCCAGCUUCCCCUCAAACAUAACACUGUCCUGUUUUAGUUUUCCCUUUGUGUCUAAAGUCCAAAAGUCCAUGUUUGAUUGACUGACUGAUUGUAUGUAUGAUGGAUAGAAAGAAAGUGACAAAAAAAAAAAAAAAAAAAAUCAUAUUGUGGACUUAUAUAUGCAUUUGCUGCUCUAUAGAGUUCCUCUGUCAACUGGAGAUUUGUGUGAGAAUGAAUCGUGUCAAUAGUGCAUUGUCUGCUGUGUUGCUUUAACCCAGUCGCCCUCCGGUAAAGGAUGGAUGUUGAAAGACACAAGAAAAGACCCGUAGCUGAAAGUGGAGAACAUCUGUAUUGUUAGGAUGCUGCUUGUUUCCGAUAUUUAUUUAAUAGCCCUCCCUGCCCAUCAGCAACUCUCAACUUUAAAGAUGUGUCAGGGUCUUUCGUCCAAGUUAGGCUUCGCUUUUUCCUCUGAGAAAGGUGACAAUAUCACUGAAAUGAGGGGUGGUCUUCAGAGUAGCAGGAAUUGGGAUUAAACUGCAUUUUAAAUGUUACUAAAAAUAAAUCUAUCCAAAUAUUUGUAUAUCAGAUUGAUUGUAUUUAUGAGCUGUAGUAAUAAAGGUGUGUGUGUGGAAAGCAAUUAAUUAUUUCUGAUUAGCUUUGAAGAAAUUGAUUUAUGAUUCACCAGAUAUGACGUGGACUCUUGUAUUUGCCGCUUCUGCAGACAAAUAUUUAUGUAAAUUGUGACAUGAGAGCUAAUUAUACUCUAAAUACUUUGUCAUUUUCAGUUACUGAUGAUUUUAAUUCAAUCAUUUAUCACCCCAAAUGUUUGAUUUAAUGAUUUUGUAGAUAUCAGGUUAUGAUUUUAAAAGGUCCCCUUUUGUUUCAGAGAAGCAAUUGUUUUUCUCAAUGUUUUAGGAUUCCUCAUGUAAAAUUCUUGACAUAAAACCGUAAAUACAAAAGGUGGAAACGAAUUGGUAAUAAAGUUAUUUUUUGCGCUCUGUAGCACUUUGAAA
Micropterus salmoides (largemouth bass) is the source of this 2694-nucleotide long non-coding RNA. RefSeq lists it as uncharacterized. The transcript is spliced from 2 exons. The record is from RefSeq and is a predicted model, not a curated record. NCBI's taxonomy places the organism in Eukaryota, Metazoa, Chordata, Actinopteri, Centrarchiformes, Centrarchidae.